UGGAAAGAGCAUCGUCGGAGUUCCAGAAUCCGACGACCGGGUGAGCCACUUGGGCCAGUCGCCUUGUCUUUUUCGAAAAGGGAAAGCAGAAAGCGGAGAGCCCUCCAUCCGAUUACGAUUCCACCCCCGGAGAGUCUCUACCUCCGUUCUACCAGAAGACCCUUGAGACUCACAGUCGAGAGGACCUCCUGAAUCAAAGAUUUUAGGAGAUGAACUG
RNAcentral lists this long non-coding RNA (217 nucleotides) under Elaeis guineensis (African oil palm). Its description in RNAcentral is "long non-coding RNA (EGUI_LNC065851)". The record is from RNAcentral. Lineage: Eukaryota; Viridiplantae; Streptophyta; Magnoliopsida; Arecales; Arecaceae.